Molecule: ribosomal RNA, 1195 nt
Filed under: uncultured bacterium
Lineage: Bacteria
Description: bacterial SSU rRNA
Rfam family: Bacterial small subunit ribosomal RNA
Source: RNAcentral
CCUGGCUCAGGAUGAACGCUAGCUACAGGCUUAACACAUGCAAGUCGAGGGGCAGCAUGAACUUAGCUUGCUAAGUUUGAUGGCGGCCGGCGCACGGGUGAGUAACACGUAUCCAACCUUCCGUUUACUCAGGGAUAGCCUUUCGAAAGAAAGAUUAAUACCUGAUAGUAUGGUGAGAUUGCAUGAUGGCACCAUUAAAGAUUUAUUGGUAAACGAUGGGGAUGCGUUCCAUUAGGUAGUAGGCGGGGUAACGGCCCACCUAGCCGGCGAUGGAUAGGGGUUCUGAGAGGAAGGUCCCCCACAUUGGAACUGAGACACGGUCCAAACUCCUACGGGAGGCAGCAGUGAGGAAUAUUGGUCAAUGGGCGAGAGCCUGAACCAGCCAAGUAGCGUGAAGGAUGAAGGUCCUACGGAUUGUAAACUUCUUUUAUACGGGAAUAAAGUUUCCUACGUGUAGGAUUUUGUAUGUACCGUAUGAAUAAGCAUCGGCUAACUCCGUGCCAGCAGCCGCGGUAAUACGGAGGAUGCGAGCGUUAUCCGGAUUUAUUGGGUUUAAAGGGAGCGCAGACGGGAGAUUAAGUCAGUUGUGAAAGUUUGCGGCUCAACCGUAAAAUUGCAGUUGAUACUGGUUUCCUUGAGUGCAGUUGAGGCAGGCGGAAUUCGUGGUGUAGCGGUGAAAUGCUUAGAUAUCACGAAGAACCCCGAUUGCGAAGGCAGCUUGCUAAACUGUAACUGACGUUCAUGCUCGAAAGUGUGGGUAUCAAACAGGAUUAGAUACCCUGGUAGUCCACACGGUAAACGAUGGAUACUCGCUGUUGGCGAUAUACUGUCAGCGGCCAAGCGAAAGCAUUAAGUAUCCCACCUGGGGAGUACGCCGGCAACGGUGAAACUCAAAGGAAUUGACGGGGGCCCGCACAAGCGGAGGAACAUGUGGUUUAAUUCGAUGAUACGCGAGGAACCUUACCCGGGCUUAAAUUGCAGACGAAUUACGAGGAAACUUGUAAGCCGCAAGGCGUCUGUGAAGGUGCUGCAUGGUUGUCGUCGGCUCGUGCCGUGAGGUGUCGGCUUAAGUGCCAUAACGAGCGCAACCCUCGUGGUCAGUUACUAACAGGUUAAGCUGAGGACUCUGGCCAGACUGCCAUCGUAAGAUGUGAGGAAGGUGGGGAUGACGUCAAAUCAGCACGGCCCUUACGUC